Suncus etruscus (white-toothed pygmy shrew) is the source of this 104-nucleotide small nuclear RNA. The record is from RefSeq and is a predicted model, not a curated record. Lineage: Eukaryota; Metazoa; Chordata; Mammalia; Eulipotyphla; Soricidae.
GUGCUGACUUCAGCAGCACUUACACUAAAAUUGGAAUGAUACAGAGAUUAGCAUGGCCCCUACACAAGGAUAAAACUCAAGUUCAUGAAGUAUUCCCCCACUUU